GAUGAACGCUGGCGGCGUGCCUAAUACAUGCAAGUCGAGCGAACAGACGAGGAGCUUGCUCCUCUGACGUUAGCGGCGGACGGGUGAGUAACACGUGGAUAACCUACCUAUAAGACUGGGAUAACCUCGGGAAACCGGAGCUAAUACCGGAUAUUAUAUUGAACCGCAUGGUUCAAUAGUGAAAGACGGUUUUGCUGUCACUUAUAGAUGGAUCCGCGCCGCAUUAGCUAGUUGGUAAGGUAACGGCUUACCAAGGCAACGAUGCGUAGCCGACCUGAGAGGGUGAUCGGCGACACUGGAACUGGGACACGGUCCAGACUCCUACGGGAGGCAGCAGUAGGGAAUCUUCCGCAAUGGGCGAAAGCCUGACGGCGCAACGCCGCGUGAGUGAUGAAGGUCUUCGGAUCGUAAAACUCUGUUAUUAGGGAAGAACAAAUGUGUAAGUAACUAUGCACGUCUUGACGGUACCUAAUCAGAAAGCCACGGCUAACUACGUG
Molecule: ribosomal RNA, 497 nt
Filed under: uncultured bacterium
Lineage: Bacteria
Description: partial 16S ribosomal RNA
Rfam family: Bacterial small subunit ribosomal RNA
Source: RNAcentral